This 73-nucleotide transfer RNA is filed under the name Catalinimonas alkaloidigena. RNAcentral's name for it is "Bacteroidetes bacterium CNU-914 tRNA". It matches the Rfam family "tRNA". Rfam says of the family: Transfer RNA (tRNA) molecules are approximately 80 nucleotides in length. Their secondary structure includes four short double-helical elements and three loops (D, anti-codon, and T loops). Further hydrogen bonds mediate the characteristic L-shaped molecular structure. tRNAs have two regions of fundamental functional importance: the anti-codon, which is responsible for specific mRNA codon recognition, and the 3' end, to which the tRNAs corresponding amino acid is attached (by aminoacyl-tRNA synthetases). tRNAs cope with the degeneracy of the genetic code in two manners: having more than one tRNA (with a specific anti-codon) for a particular amino acid; and 'wobble' base-pairing, i.e. permitting non-standard base-pairing at the 3rd anti-codon position. RNAcentral also lists the same sequence under 15 other names. Lineage: Bacteria; Pseudomonadati; Bacteroidota; Cytophagia; Cytophagales; Catalimonadaceae. The record is from Rfam by way of RNAcentral.
ACGGGUGUAGCUCAAUUGGUAGAGUAGCGGUCUCCAAAACCGUUGGUUGGGGGUUCGAGUCCCUCCUCCCGUG